This is a non-coding RNA of Paramuricea clavata, 839 nucleotides long. The record is from the annotation of a GenBank genome assembly. Lineage: Eukaryota; Metazoa; Cnidaria; Anthozoa; Malacalcyonacea; Plexauridae.
CAUUUAUAUCUUUGCAUUUUUGCUUCUGUUGGUCACGGUUCGUCAUUCUGUCGAUGGUUCCACGGCACGUACUUUCUUCAUGGGACAUCACAACACGUCCAUCCAUUCAGUAGGUAACAAAUGCACUCAAUUUCACGUAAACCACCAUAAAAUAAGGAGAAAAAAUUCAUUAAUUCACGUUAAGAGGCAAUUUUUUUCAAUGUCACGUAUUUGCAAUGAAAAGUGUUCAAAACCUAGUAAAAUCUUUUUGGCGUUCCUCUCAAAAUUACUUUCUUUUAGCUUUAUUCUCUAGUUUAUAGAGUUAGCUACCUUUUUCAAUGCAUCUUCCGGUUGAGAAGCAUAAAAUAAUAAUCAAUAUUGCUUAAAAUUGGCGCCAUGCAUAUUUACAGCCAUAUAAGCAAAACUUACUGAACUUCAGACAUCAUUUUCUCUUUGGCGUAUCAUCUAAAAUCUCUUCAUUUUAGCAUUAUUUUACAGAUAAAACAUCAAAUAUACUUUUUAAGUUUGUUUGCCGAUUGAGUGGUAUAGUAUACGCAUUAGUUUUGAGCGCGUGUUACGUAACAUGCAAAAAAAUCUCUUAAUAAACAACUUACAAAAAAUAAAUGUUCAAUUUAAUUUUAAUUCCAAGUCGACAUAUUUAAAAUUAAGAACUUCAAUAUUAUUGCAACUCUUUGAUUGUGAAUAACACAAAUAACAUCGACAAACCGUACAUCUGUAUCUUUGGGUCUUCGCAGCUUCUGUUGGGCAUGUGUCGUCAUCUAUCACUCUACGGUAUGCUUGUCCCUUUGUUCUCUGUCUUUACAUGGCACAUCCAGUUUCCUUGACAUUACAUGCAUCCU